CAGGUACCCCCAGGUACCCCCAGGUGUGUCCCAGGUACCCCCAGGUGUCCCCAGGUGUGUCCCAGGUGUGUCCAGGUGUGUCUCAGGUACCCCCAGGUGUCCCCAGGUGUGUCCCAGGUACCCCCAGGUGUCCCCAGGUGUCCCCAGGUGUGUCCAGGUGUGUCCCAGGUGUCCCCAGGUGUGUCCCAGGUGUCCUCAGGUAUCCUCAGGUGUGUCCCAGGUGUGUCCAGGUGUGUCUCAGGUACCCUCAGGUGUCCCCAGGUGUGUCCCAGGUACCCCCAGGUGUGUCUAGGUGUGUCCAAGCGUCCCCAGGUGUGUCCCAGGUGUCCUCAGGUGUGUCCCAGGUGUGUCCAGGUGUGUCCAGGUGUGUCUCAGGUACCCCCAGGUGUCCCCAGGUGUGCCCCAGGUGUGUCCCAGGUGUCCCCAGGUGUGUCCCAGGUACCCCCAGGUCUGUCCAGGUGUGUCCCACAUGUACCCCAGGUACCCCCAGGUGUGUCCAGGUGUCCCCAGGUGUAUCUCAGGUGUCCCCAGGUGUGUCCAGGUGUGUCCCAGGUGUCCCCAGGUGUCCCCAGGUGUGUCCCAGGUGUGUCUCAGGUGUCCCCAGGUGUCCCCAGGUGACCCCAGGUGUAUCUCAGCUGUCCCCAGGUGUCCCCAGGUGACCCCAGGUGUAUCCCAGGUGUGCCCAGGUGUGUCCCCAGGUGCACUCACCUGUCCCAGCAGCUCCUGCAGUCUCCUCCUGAGCGCUCCGUUGUCCCUGCGCAGCCGCUCGUUCUCGGCCAGC
RNAcentral lists this long non-coding RNA (781 nucleotides) under Parus major (Great Tit). RNAcentral describes it as "lncRNA (ENSPMJG00000002354.1)". The record is from RNAcentral. Lineage: Eukaryota; Metazoa; Chordata; Aves; Passeriformes; Paridae.